CGCAAGAACCAAACAAACCUUCUAGCGACACGCUGACACUGAAUGAAUGAAUAUACCUGAACGCAUAUACGUGGAUCGAGAGAGAUGGACGAUUACUUGGUAGUGGCAAUUUACAAAACAGCAGAGGGUGGCAGACGGUUGGCAUUUGGAGUUGCUACGGGGUCAGCGCCUGUGGCGGGCAGCACGAGCUGCCCCCUUUGCUGCGGUCCUGGGUGCAGCAAGACGGCACGGAUCGUGAGGCAUCGUCCAGCUCCAGCGCCGAGAUCCUGGCCGCGCCCGCCUCUGCUCCGCCGCCGUGCCCGCGCGGCCCCGUCCUCGCACCGCGCGCGGCCGUGACCACCAAGGCCGCGAGCGCCAUGGCCAGCAGCAACCUGCAGGCGCACGUCGUCGAUCUCGCGCGCACAGCCAUGCUCGAUCGGCAGGCACCGAUCGACUUGUCGUCGUUGGAGACGUCACGAUCUCUUGGUUGGGUUCCUUCUUCCUUCCUUGGCUUCUUGAU
Molecule: long non-coding RNA, 499 nt
Filed under: Setaria viridis
Lineage: Eukaryota; Viridiplantae; Streptophyta; Magnoliopsida; Poales; Poaceae
Description: long non-coding RNA (SVIR_LNC010153)
Source: RNAcentral